Molecule: ribosomal RNA, 253 nt
Filed under: uncultured bacterium
Lineage: Bacteria
Description: partial 16S ribosomal RNA
Rfam family: Bacterial small subunit ribosomal RNA
Source: RNAcentral
UACAGAGGGGGCAAGCGUUAUUCGGAAUUAUUGGGCGUAAAGGGCGCGUAGGCGGCUUGGCAAGUGGAAGGUGAAAUCCCUCGGCUUAACCGAGGAACUGCCCUCCAAACUGCUUGGCUUGAGACCGGGAGAGGUGAGUGGAAUUCCCAGUGUAGCGGUGAAAUGCGUAGAUAUUGGGAGGAACACCAGUGGCGAAGGCGGCUCACUGGACCGGUACUGACGCUGAGGCGCGAAAGCGUGGGGAGCAAACAGG